GCAGGGAAACACGGCGGGGUCCCAUCUGUCCCUACACCAGCCUGUGUUGACGGGGCAGAGACAAGCGCUCAUGCGGCGCAAAACUCUUCUCCGACCCCGGGAGAGGCUCCAACGGCCCCGCACGCGUUCGCAGUCAGGUGAUGACUUUCUCCAGCUGGUACUAGCCCCCUGAGGCACCCCUGGACCCUGUUAAUAGUAAAUUCUGAGCCAGAGACUCCAGCAAUUGCAGGAGCAAAUCCAGCCAUGGGGAGCAAACAAUCCAGGAAUGGGAUUUUCCUACCAGACGGGCAGGGAGAGGGGACAGGGAAAAGGAGAUAGAAGAAGAAAGAGAGACUGAAAGUGGCCAUGGGAGAGAAGAGUUUUGAGAGAGAUUUCCAGAUCUCUAAUCUGCCCAGACAGAUGUAUUACUGCACCCCUGGGUAGAGUCACUUUCCUGUGGACAAGAUGAGGAUCAGACAGAAGAAAACCCAAUUCCUGACCCCAUAUCCCUCCUGCUGGGGUGUGGCUCCUGUAAGGUCAGUGUUAGAGGGAAUUGUCGAAAGUGACUCCUUUGGUUCUGCCAGACCAGGGCUGCACCAAGCGGUUAGGUCCCCAGACACAGUGCCCGGGGGGCAUCUAGGUGCCCCUUGCUUGGGGCUCUGAGGGCUGCUACUAACCAAGUUACAGGAGGUUAAAAAUCUGUCUCUGGGCUUAGCCUGGCAGGAGGGGCCAGGUCUACACUGUAAUAAAAAGAUCAAGCAUUUUCCCAGCAUGGCAGAAUCUAGGAUGUCUGUCUGCAGGGAAAGGGCCUGGGGAAAUUGUGAUGUGAAAUUAACGAAAGUCUGUUCUGAAACCUCCACAACUGCCCUUUUCACCC
Molecule: long non-coding RNA, 856 nt
Organism: Trachemys scripta elegans
Lineage: Eukaryota; Metazoa; Chordata; Testudines; Emydidae
Exons: 3
Source: RefSeq, a predicted model, not a curated record